AAUCUAUUUGUAAACUGGAUUUAUCAGCUGAAUUUUUACUCUAUCAAUUAAGUAACUGUCCCGAAGCGAACUGAGAAUAUCAGUUUCAUUUUAAACUUUGACAAAAAUGUGGCAUAAUCAAUUAAGAGAGAUUUUCAUUGCCAUUGCCAUUGCAUCAAAUAGUUCGAUUCGCAUGGCUUAAAAAAGUGUCGAGCGCAGCAUGGCACUGUUAUUCUUAUAAAUAAAUUCGAGCUGUAAACAUCAUCGAAUUUUUUGAUGCGAAAUCAACUACGUUACUAAAAUGAAUGAGUAUUUUUUUGUACUAUCAAUAAAAACAUAUUCGAAAAGUGAUACACAAAGCAGCUAAGUAAAAUUGAUUUGAUGAAAAUAGAAAUAAAUGCAAAAAUAUGAUUUCAUUCAGUUCACGAGUUUUCUGUGUUAAAAUAGUUUAUCACAGUUGAUUGAACGUUAGUGUAAAAUUUUGACGUUUUUGCGGAAGUAUACGGUGUGAAUAACAUCAAAAGAACAAAAAUAAUAACAAAAUGUCAAUCUCAUGUGAAAUUGUGUUUGUGCGAAAUCCCACCAAAGUAUUUUACUUGGGUCAACCUUUACGUGGAUACGUUCAUUUGGCAAUGAAAAAUCAACAAGAUGUUCAUGGCAUUCAUGUUCAACUCAGUGGUGUAGCAGUCGCCAAUUGGAAAAUCGGUCGUGCUAUUCGCCGGUGUACAGAGGAUUGCUUGAAUCAUCAAACGAGUAUUAUAGGAGAAUCGCGUUUAGUUGUUCGAAAAUAUAAACUUCCAUUUCAAUUUCUGUUACCGGCACAAUUGCCAUCAUCAUUCGAAGGGGAAUUUGGUUUCAUUCGGUACAUGGUUACAGUUUUAAUAGAAAUUCCAUUCGAGCCGAGCAAAGUGCUGGAAGAAUAAGUGACAAUUCUUAGGACGAUCAACUUGAAUGACGCAGACUUACAGCGGAAAGUGUCAGUGAGUGAUGGGUUCAAUCCAUACUUCGUGUUGUCGUGGCUACCUUGGUUUCCAGUGAAAAUAGAUGCGCAUGUUGAACCGGGAACAUAUGCACCGGGAAUGUUUAUUGAUGUGGGUGUCAAUGUCACCAAUAAAAGCUUUCGGAGCAUACGGAAUUUCAUUGUGCAGCUGAUCAAGGAAGUGACAUAUUUCUCGUACGAUCACACGCGUAAGACGAAAUCGAUUUUAAUUCUGUGUGAAACCGAAAUACGUGGGUGUGGUCAAAAUCAAAAGUACCCCAUCUGUUUGGGCUGUCAAGUUAUUGUUCCGCAAACGUCGCCUUCAGAUAAUUCCAGUGUCAUUAUUAAAGUUCGUCAUUUUAUUCGGGUAACAGCGUCAAUGGGCAAGAAUUAUAAACCGAUGCUUGAGCUACCAGUUACCAUUGUUCCUAUUUCAAGUUACCAGCCAAAAAUGCUCCAAAUCUAAUGUUCAAAUUGCUUUAAGAAAUAAAGAAAAUUUCUCAUCA
Sitodiplosis mosellana (orange wheat blossom midge) is the source of this 1464-nucleotide long non-coding RNA. RefSeq lists it as uncharacterized. Lineage: Eukaryota; Metazoa; Arthropoda; Insecta; Diptera; Cecidomyiidae. The transcript has 5 exons. The record is from RefSeq and is a predicted model, not a curated record.